ACGGGUGAGUAACGCGUGGGUAACCUGCCGUAUACAGGGGGAUAACAGUUGGAAACAACUGCUAAUACCGCAUAAGCGCACACUGUCGCAUGACAGAGUGUGAAAAUUUUCCGGAGGUAUACGAUGGACCCGCGUCUGAUUAGCCAGUUGGCAGGGUAACGGCCUACCAAAGCAACGAUCAGUAGCCGGCCUGAGAGGGUGGACGGCCACAUUGGGACUGAGACACGGCCCAAACUCCUGCGGGAGGCAGCAGUGGGGGAUAUUGCACAAUGGGGGAAACCCUGAUGCAGCGACGCCGCGUGAGUGAAGAAGCAUUUCGGUGUGUAAAGCUCUAUCAGCAGGGAAGAAGAAUGACGGUACCUGACCAAGAAGCCCCGGCUAACUACGUG
RNAcentral lists this ribosomal RNA (389 nucleotides) under uncultured bacterium. Its description in RNAcentral is "bacterial SSU rRNA". It matches the Rfam family "Bacterial small subunit ribosomal RNA", at positions 102 to 507 of the family's 1533-position model. The record is from RNAcentral.